RNAcentral lists this ribosomal RNA (466 nucleotides) under uncultured Lampropedia sp. RNAcentral describes it as "bacterial SSU rRNA". It matches the Rfam family "Bacterial small subunit ribosomal RNA", at positions 916 to 1381 of the family's 1533-position model. The record is from RNAcentral. Lineage: Bacteria; Pseudomonadati; Pseudomonadota; Betaproteobacteria; Burkholderiales; Comamonadaceae.
GACGGGACCCGCACAAGCGGUGGAUGAUGUGGAUUAAUUCGAUGCAACGCGAAAACCUUACCUACCCUUGACAUGUCUGGAACCUUGCUGAGAGGCGAGGGUGCCUUCGGAGCCAGAACACAGGUGCUGCAUGGCUGUCGUCAGCUCGUGUCGUGAGAUGUUGGGUUAAGUCCCGCAACGAGCGCAACCCUUGUCAUUAGUUGCCAUCAUUUAGUUGGGCACUCUAAUGAGACUGCCGGUGACAAACCGGAGGAAGGUGGGGAUGACGUCAAGUCCUCAUGGCCCUUAUAGGUGGGGCUACACACGUCAUACAAUGGCCGGUACAAAGGGCAGCAAACCCGCGAGGGGGAGCCAAUCCAUCAAAGCCGGUCGUAGUCCGGAUCGCAGUCUGCAACUCGACUGCGUGAAGUCGGAAUCGCUAGUAAUCGUGGAUCAGCAUGUCACGGUGAAUACGUUCCCGGGUCUU